GUUUGAUCCUGGCUCAGGAUGAACGCUGGCGGCGUGCUUAACACAUGCAAGUCGAACGGGAAUUACUUUAUUGAAACUUCGGUCGAUAUGAUUUAAUUCUAGUGGCGGACGGGUGAGUAACGCGUGGGUAACCUGCCUUAUACAGGGGGAUAACAGUCAGAAAUGACUGCUAAUACCGCAUAAGCGCACAGAGCUGCAUGGCUCGGUGUGAAAAACUCCGGUGGUAUAAGAUGGACCCGCGUUGGAUUAGCUAGUUGGUGAGGUAACGGCCCACCAAGGCGACGAUCCAUAGCCGGCCUGAGAGGGUGAACGGCCACAUUGGGACUGAGACACGGCCCAGACUCCUACGGGAGGCAGCAGUGGGGAAUAUUGCACAAUGGGGGAAACCCUGAUGCAGCGACGCCGCGUGAAGGAAGAAGUAUCUCGGUAUGUAAACUUCUAUCAGCAGGGAAGAAAAUGACGGUACCUGACUAAGAAGCCCCGGCUAACUACGUGCCAGCAGCCGCGGUAAUACGUAGGGGGCAAGCGUUAUCCGGAUUUACUGGGUGUAAAGGGAGCGUAGACGGAUGGACAAGUCUGAUGUGAAAGGCUGGGGCUCAACCCCGGGACUGCAUUGGAAACUGCCCG
Molecule: ribosomal RNA, 627 nt
Filed under: uncultured bacterium
Lineage: Bacteria
Description: bacterial SSU rRNA
Rfam family: Bacterial small subunit ribosomal RNA
Source: RNAcentral